UUUAAGAUGAAGAUCUGUUUGAAUUCUGAUGCAAUUAAUCUUGGAAAAGGUGAACUUUUCCAUUAGGUGCACAGUUCUCAUUCAAAACUGAACUUGUGAAAGCCAUUGCAGCUGUGGCCAGCCUCUGACCAUCUUACUGUGGACCCAGUCCCCCCAAAACAGUCCCCUACGAAAUGAUCCACCAUAGUUUGAAUACAGUUGCAUUGAAGUCCACCAAUUAGAUCACUGCAGAAGGGCACGAGAAGGUGGAAGGGCAAUUAGCUUAUGAGAGGCCCUGGGAGGCUACAGUAUUUCCCUGUUUGACUUAAAUGUUACUUAGCUCUAACUGACUAUCUAGUUGUACUUAUACACCCAAAUGUUUUCUUCUUCCUUUUCUGGUAUUUACCCGACCUAAGACUAUCUUCAUCCUGUAAGAGCCUCAUAGAAGUUCCGUGAGCACAGAAGCACCCAGUCAUCAUUAAAUAUUUGCCAAGCUGUUAAAAUAAGUCCUCACAGUGUCACAGUGGGUUUGGGCACUUAGCAACCAUCACAGCUUCUAUACAGAUGCUCCAGGGCAGCAGUCACCUCCUCCAUAUGCGCUACAUGAGGAAAAAGCUGCAGGAAGAAAGAAUGAAUGAAAACAGUGCAAGUGUGAAGGGAAGGGGAAAGUUUCUUCUACUCCGUGGGCUCUGAGGAUCAGGCAGCACUCCAUCAUCAUCUUGGGAAGGUGAGGUAUGGAAAGUGGCAAGAUCACAUUCAAGUCCAUAGACUGUGUCCAGAGAUGCCCAGGCCCUUCUUGCUCCUCUUCAUGCUCUUGGACUUCUAACUACCCAU
RNAcentral lists this long non-coding RNA (813 nucleotides) under Mus spicilegus (steppe mouse). RNAcentral's name for it is "lncRNA (ENSMSIG00000015048.1)". The record is from RNAcentral. Lineage: Eukaryota; Metazoa; Chordata; Mammalia; Rodentia; Muridae.